Molecule: ribosomal RNA, 301 nt
Filed under: uncultured bacterium
Lineage: Bacteria
Description: partial 16S ribosomal RNA
Rfam family: Bacterial small subunit ribosomal RNA
Source: RNAcentral
CAGCCGCCGCGGGAAUACCGAGGAUGCAAGCGUUAUCCGGAAUGAUUGGGCGUAAGGCGUCUGUAGGUGGCUUUUCAAGUCCGCCGUCAAAUCCCAGGGCUCAACCCUGGACAGGCGGUGGAAACUACCAAGCUGGAGUACGGCAGAGGGGGAUGGAAUUCCGCGUGUAGCAGUGAAAUGCGUAGAUAUGCGGAGGAACACCGAUGGCGAAGGCAAUCCCCUGGGCCUGCACUGACGCUCAUGCACGAAAGCGUGGGGAGCAAACAGGAUUAGAGACCCCUGUAGUCCCUGUCUCUUAUAU